CUACGGGCGGCUCCAGUGAGGAAUAUUGCACAAUGGGGGGAACCCUGAUGCAGCAACGCCGCGUGGAGGAUAACGCAUUUCGGUGUGUAAACUCCUUUUAUAUGUCAAGAAAAUGACGGUAGCAUAUGAAUAAGCACCGGCUAACUCCGUGCCAGCAGCCGCGGUAAUACGGAGGGUGCAAGCGGUACUCGGAAUCACUGGGCGUAAAGGACGCGUAGGCGGGUUGGAAAGUCAGGUGUGAAAUCCUACAGCUUAACUGUAGAACUGCACUUGAAACUUCUAAUCUAGAGUAUGGGAGGGGGAGAUGGAAUUAGUGGUGUAGGGGUAAAAUCCGUAGAUAUCACUAGGAAUACCUAAAGCGAAGGCGAUCUCCUGGAACAUUACUGACGCUAAGGCGUGAAAGCGUGGGGAGCAAACAGGAUUAGAUACCCCCGUAGUC
RNAcentral lists this ribosomal RNA (439 nucleotides) under uncultured bacterium. Its description in RNAcentral is "partial 16S ribosomal RNA". It matches the Rfam family "Bacterial small subunit ribosomal RNA", at positions 339 to 795 of the family's 1533-position model. The record is from RNAcentral.